ACAUGCCUACAUCAUAGCGUUAAUGAACUGGAUCCCAUUAGAACUCCACAGUUAAGCACACUCAUGCUAGAGUAGUACUGGGAUGGGUGACUUCUCGGGAAGUCCUAGUGUUUUACAUGCC
Picea glauca (white spruce) is the source of this 121-nucleotide non-coding RNA. The record is from Rfam. Lineage: Eukaryota; Viridiplantae; Streptophyta; Pinopsida; Pinales; Pinaceae.